GUGCCAGCCGCCGCGGUAAUACGGGGGGUGCAAGUGUUAAUCGGAUUUACUGGGCGUAAAGCGCGCGUAGGUGGUUUGGUAAGUUGGAUGUGAAAGCCCUGGGCUUAACCUGGGAACUGCAUUCAAUACUGCCAGGACUAGAGUGUGGUAGAGGGAAGUGGAAUUCCGGGUGUAGCGGUGAAAUGCGUAGAUAUCCGGAGGAACACCAGUGGCGAAGGCGGCUUCCUGGACCAACACUGACGCUGAGGUGCGAAAGCGUGGGGAGCAAACAGGAUUAGAUACCCCUGUAGUCC
RNAcentral lists this ribosomal RNA (293 nucleotides) under uncultured bacterium. RNAcentral describes it as "partial 16S ribosomal RNA". It matches the Rfam family "Bacterial small subunit ribosomal RNA", at positions 505 to 796 of the family's 1533-position model. The record is from RNAcentral.